This 258-nucleotide long non-coding RNA is filed under the name Lathyrus oleraceus (garden pea). Its description in RNAcentral is "Pisum sativum (pea) long non-coding RNA (PSAT_LNC028089)". The record is from RNAcentral. Lineage: Eukaryota; Viridiplantae; Streptophyta; Magnoliopsida; Fabales; Fabaceae.
AUAGAUAUGCACGACUCUAUGCAGCGGUUACAACUGCAGGGAAGUGGUGCUCAUGCCUUGAUGAUGCGUGAGCAGUUUCUGCUUAACGCCAACUGGCCUGUGGACAGGCCUGUGUAUGGUGAGGGGGCGGGCGCUGGUGCGUCUUCGGGUGCUGCAGCUGAUGAUGAUGAUGAUGAUGAUGAUGAUGAGGCUACCGGUUCUGAAGCCGGUAGCGAGGAGGAUUCUGAGCCCUUAGAGGGUUAAGUUUUUGUAUUUUUC